Triticum urartu is the source of this 1922-nucleotide non-coding RNA. NCBI's taxonomy places the organism in Eukaryota, Viridiplantae, Streptophyta, Magnoliopsida, Poales, Poaceae. The record is from RefSeq and is a predicted model, not a curated record.
CCCAGCCGACUGGUAUGAGGAAAAGAAGCCCAGCCCACCUGCUACCGCGAUCCCCUCCCCUAACCUUCGAACUACAUGACGCCGCAACCACCGCCUCCCUCCCUGCCUCGCCCCGCCGCCGGGCCCCGGCCAUGAAUCGCACCGCCGCCCUGCCCCGACCUUCAACCGCGCCGCCGCCGCAUCCUCCCCCCCGUGCCGCCGCCGCCACCCUCCCCACCUCGCCACCAACCGGCGCUGCGCCGCACCCCUGACCCCAGCCGGAGAUGCCGCCUCACCUCCUCCCUGGAUCUCGUGCCAUCCUCCCCCACACACUGCCGCUGACGAAGGGAGCAACCACCGGUGUGGACUGCUCCACCACCUACCGGCCUUCACCACUCCCCUCCACCAACAUCGGCCCCGCCCCAUCCACAGAGCCUGGCGUCCCCCAUCUCCCUCCACCUUCCUCUAUGCGUGAUGGACGCCAUGGCACGGGACCGUGAGCUCGCCGGAUUCCUUCCCCUACAGCCAGCGCCACCACCUACAGCUGGCGCCACAGUCGUCCAGGCCGUUCAACUUCGCCGCCUUAGGCCGUGCAACUCCGCCCGUGUGAGCGCGCGUCGCUCCUCCGCAGCUUCUCCACUUCGAGAUGGCAGGUGACCUCGUUGAUGUCUGAAGCUACUUCCUCCCCCCUGUCCUAAAACUGAAUCCAUAUCAAAGCAUCGAUUCCUCCCCCUGUCUAGUCUUGUAUUUGUUCUCUAAGUGAUUUUCAUUGAUGUCUGAAGUUCAUAUGUAUCUGCAGCUGCAAAACACUCGUUUUUUUGGGUCUGAAGUUCAGAUGUAUCUGAAGCUGCAAAACACUCACUUUUUUUGGUCCUUUGUUUUCAGUUUCACAAGCCGCAGCCCAUGUGCGCCCCCACCCCAUCCAAACCGACAAAGCCGCUUCCACCCCGCCCCCAACCGGUGACGCUGCCGCAGUCCCGCCCCCAACCGAGCGCCGCCCCUGCUCCUUCAGCUCCCUGUCUCGCGUGCCUUGUUCCACUAGCCACCGGCUCCGUCCGCCAUCCUUACUCUCCUGAACUUCUUCUCCGUCGGCAGGGACGAGCAGGAAGCUGUCAUCCAUGUCGUCCUCACCCACCAUCAGCUUGUGAAAAAAGUUAAUUGCUGGCGCUUAGGUCCAACGCCAAAACCAGGCAAAUGUGCGGCUGAAGAAGUUCAAACAUGGGGCGCGGAGCAGCUGGAGGUCAGCGAGCAAGGGGGCGAAGCUAAAAUGGAGCAGACGAAAUCUUUGCACAGUGGCGCACAAGCCCUGAGUGUGUGCGGUGUGCCUUCGAGCAGCUACCAUGCGUGAUGCGAGCAACUUGGGAAGCAAUAAUACUACUGGAGAAGGAACCUCGAGAUGACUGAAGUCCAACUAUUGCGUUGGACAAGGUCCAUCAAAUUCGUGGUUGAUAAAUUCAACCCUCCCAGGAUGUGCCUAUUAUUUUUAAUAUAUCACAAAGAUGAAUGCAUAUACACAAAGAUGAACAUUGUUGUGAACUCUUAUUAUAUUUUGCAGGGGAAGAUUUCAGAUGUUGAUAUUCAGCAUAUUGCCAAAAGAGUUCGGUGAAAAAAAUCACUCUCCAAAAGACAUCCAAGUAAUAUUUUCAAGAGGCAGAUGAAAAAAAUGUUGAUGGCGAGAUAGAUUUUGGCGAAUUUGCCAGGAUGAUGAAAAAGACCAGCUAUGAUGAUAACUAGGUGGGGAGAUGUCAUUUUUGAGAGUGUGGAUCUUUUUGUAGUUUUUCAAUAACCACCGCAUGUAUGCGUGAUGUACUUAUUGAAGCUUUGGCUGCAUGUCCAUGUACAGUGUGAAUUACUAGAUGAAAAUGGGUGUUCGCCCUAUAGGAUGCUGCUUGCACUUAAUGUAUAUGAUUUUUAUUUUUUGAGUUGUUGAUUUGUGUAAGGUA